UACAUAGGUCCCGAGCGUUGUCCGGAUUUAUUGGGCGUAAAGCGAGCGCAGGUGGUUUAUUAAGUCUGGUGUAAAAGGCAGUGGCUCAGCCAUUGUAUGCAUUGGAAACUGGUAGACUUGAGUGCAGGAGAGGAGAGUGGAAUUCCAUGUGUAGCGGUGAAAUGCGUAGAUAUAUGGAGGAACACCGGUGGCGAAAGCGGCUCUCUGGCCUGUAACUGACACUGAGGCUCGAAAGCGUGGGGAGCAAACAGG
RNAcentral lists this ribosomal RNA (252 nucleotides) under uncultured bacterium. Its description in RNAcentral is "partial 16S ribosomal RNA". It matches the Rfam family "Bacterial small subunit ribosomal RNA", at positions 524 to 776 of the family's 1533-position model. The record is from RNAcentral.